CCUGAAAUGGCAAAGAGCGUCGCUGAGAAACAGCUGCACCUUCUCACCCUCCAGUGCUCGUUCUGUGAUCGGCUGCUGAAGCCAAACACCCUGAAGGGAUUCGGCUUUCUGAUAUCCUAACAGCAAAAGCAGACCCGGUGGAGCUGCCCCUCUGUGUCCGUGAGUUAUGUUUAAGCUCUUUCAAAGAAGUUCUCCAGCUUUGAGGAAACCAUUUAUAACAAUGGAGAAAAUCCCAGGACGGGUUGUGUUGGGGGGGGACCCCGAGAUUCCCCAGCUCCAACCAUCCCCACCACUGGGUGUUACCUUGGGCAAUCUCAAGCUGCCGUUUCGCAUCUCCUAAUGCAGAGAAGAGAUCCAGCUUGAUCCGCGUCUCUGCGCUCAGGCUGUUCUCUAAGUGCUGUGUUUUAUCCUGCAUGGCUGACAGUGCUGACAUCAACACCUCCGUAUCCUUCUCAUUUUCCUUGUACUUCCGCAGUUCCUGUAGGAGCAAUGAGGAUAAAUGUUAUUCCUGUAGGUGUCACGGAUGAGAUGUACUGAGAAGUCUUUCCCUUCCCUACAGCACGCCACUGGGCCUGGUAUUAAUGCAGUCAAAUUAAAAUGAUGGUUAAUUGAGGACGCUGUAAUAUCACCUGCAGUAAUUAUACAUGACCAUCACACAAGUGAUUAAAGCCAUAUUGUACAAAGAGCA
Molecule: long non-coding RNA, 688 nt
Organism: Gallus gallus (chicken)
Lineage: Eukaryota; Metazoa; Chordata; Aves; Galliformes; Phasianidae
Exons: 2
Source: RefSeq, a predicted model, not a curated record